AAAAAUUUAGUUAAUUAAUUAAUAACAUUAGUUUGUCAAACUAAAAUAAUUUCUUAAAGAAAUAAUUUUUA
RNAcentral lists this transfer RNA (71 nucleotides) under Onthophagus capella. RNAcentral's name for it is "tRNA-Asp". Lineage: Eukaryota; Metazoa; Arthropoda; Insecta; Coleoptera; Scarabaeidae. The record is from RNAcentral.